AUGGGAACGCGAAGAACCUUACCUAGACUUGACAUCUCCUGAAUAGUGUAGAGAUACAUGAAGCCCUUCGGGGCGAGGAAGACAGGUGGUGCAUGGUUGUCGUCAGCUCGUGUCGUGAGAUGUUGGGUUAAGUCCCGCAACGAGCGCAACCCUUAUUACUAGUUGCUACCAUUAAGUUGAGCACUCUAGUGAGACUGCCCGGGUUAACCGGGAGGAAGGCGGGAUGACGUCAAAUCAUCAUGCCCCUUAUGUCUAGGGCAACACACGUGCUACAAUGGUGAGUACAGAUAGAUGCGAUACCGCAAGGUGGAGCCAAACUCUAAAACUCAUCCCAGUUCGGAUUGUAGGCUGCAACUCGCCUACAUGAAGUUGGAGUUGCUAGUAAUCGCGAAUCAGAAUGUCGCGGUGAAUAC
This 413-nucleotide ribosomal RNA is filed under the name uncultured bacterium. RNAcentral describes it as "bacterial SSU rRNA". It matches the Rfam family "Bacterial small subunit ribosomal RNA", at positions 954 to 1369 of the family's 1533-position model. The record is from RNAcentral.